GGGCACAUAGCUCAGUUGGUCAGAGCGCCUGCCUUACACGCAGGGGGUCGUCGGUUCGAGACCGGCUGUGCCCACCU
This 77-nucleotide transfer RNA is filed under the name Cutibacterium granulosum TM11. Its description in RNAcentral is "tRNA-Val". It matches the Rfam family "tRNA". From Rfam's summary of the family: Transfer RNA (tRNA) molecules are approximately 80 nucleotides in length. Their secondary structure includes four short double-helical elements and three loops (D, anti-codon, and T loops). Lineage: Bacteria; Bacillati; Actinomycetota; Actinomycetes; Propionibacteriales; Propionibacteriaceae. The record is from RNAcentral.